This 586-nucleotide ribosomal RNA is filed under the name uncultured fungus. RNAcentral's name for it is "eukaryotic LSU rRNA". The stretch from base 236 to 389 matches the Rfam family "5.8S ribosomal RNA". The record is from RNAcentral. Lineage: Eukaryota; Fungi.
UAACAAGGUUUCCGUAGGUGAACCUGCGGAAGGAUCAUUAAAUGGCGUGCGAUCCGCACGCGGACGCGCCCGGGCUCCGGCUUGGGGGUUGCCUGCAUGCGGCUCCUCNCUCUCUACCCUUGCUUAUUUGUAUCCUCUUGUUGUUUCCUCGGCGGGUCCUGACCUGCCGGUGGGAAUUCGAUAAACCUCUUGCAGUAGUAUCCAAUCAUUCUGAUCAAAAGUAUUAAAUCGUUACAACUUUCAACAAUGGAUCUCUUGGUUCUGGCAUCNAUGAAGAACGCANCGAAAUGCGAUAAGUAGUGUGAAUUGCAGAAUUCAGUGAAUCAUCGAAUCUUUGAACGCACAUUGCGCCCCUUGGUAUUCCAUGGGGCAUGCCUGUUCGAGCGUCAUUUGCACCCUCAAGCACUGCUUGGUGUUGGGCGUCUGUCCGCAUGGACUCGCCUCAAAGGCAUUGGCAGCGGUCCUGCCGGGUCUCCUAAUCGCGCAGCACUGUUCGCGCUUCCUGGAGCCUCUGCGGAUUCGGCGUCCAUCAAGCCCAAUCUUCUAAACUUGACCUCGGAUCAGGUAGGGAUACCCGCUGAACUUA